Molecule: ribosomal RNA, 772 nt
Filed under: uncultured bacterium
Lineage: Bacteria
Description: bacterial SSU rRNA
Rfam family: Bacterial small subunit ribosomal RNA
Source: RNAcentral
AGAGUUUGAUCCUGGCUCAGGACGAACGCUGGCGGCGUGCUUAACACAUGCAAGUCGAGCGGAAAGGCCCUUCGGGGUACUCGAGCGGCGAACGGGUGAGUAACACGUGAGCAACCUGCCCUUCACUUUGGGAUAACCCUCGGAAACGGGGGCUAAUACCGGAUAUGACCUUGCCUUGCAUGAGGUUGGGGUGGAAAGUUUUUCGGUGGGGGAUGGGCUCGCGGCCUAUCAGCUUGUCGGUGGGGUGAUGGCCUACCAAGGCGACGACGGGUAGCCGGCCUGAGAGGGCGACCGGCCACACUGGGACUGAGACACGGCCCAGACUCCUACGGGAGGCAGCAGUGGGGAAUAUUGCACAAUGGGCGAAAGCCUGAUGCAGCGACGCCGCGUGAGGGAUGACGGCCUUCGGGUUGUAAACCUCUUUCAGCUCCGACGAAGAGAAAUUGACGGUAGGAGCAGAAGAAGCGCCGGCCAACUACGUGCCAGCAGCCGCGGUAAGACGUAGGGCGCGAGCGUUGUCCGGAUUUAUUGGGCGUAAAGAGCUCGUAGGCGGCUUGUUGCGUCGACUGUGAAAACCCGCGGCUCAACCGUGUGGCUUGCAGUCGAUACGGGCAGGCUAGAAUUCGGUAGGGGAGACUGGAAUUCCUGGUGUAGCGGUGAAAUGCGCAGAUAUCAGGAGGAACACCGGUGGCGAAGGCGGGUCUCUGGGCCGAUAUUGACGCUGAGGAGCGAAAGCGUGGGGAGCGAACAGGAUUAGAUACCCUAGUAGUCC